RNAcentral lists this ribosomal RNA (465 nucleotides) under uncultured bacterium. RNAcentral describes it as "partial 16S ribosomal RNA". It matches the Rfam family "Bacterial small subunit ribosomal RNA", at positions 339 to 795 of the family's 1533-position model. The record is from RNAcentral.
CUACGGGAUGCUCCAGUGAGGAAUUUUGCGCAAUGGGGGGAACCCUGACGCAGCAACGCCGCGUGAGUGAUGAAGGCUUUCGGGUCGUAAAGCUCUGUCAAGUGGGAAGAACCUAUGCAGUGUUAAUAUCACUGUAUACUGACGGUACCACUGAAGGAAGCACCGGCUAACUCCGUGCCAGCAGCCGCGGUAAUACGGGGGGUGCAAGCGUUAUUCGGAAUCAUUGGGCGUAAAGGGCACGUAGGCGGCUUGGUAAGUCAGAUGUGAAAGCCCGGGGCUUAACCCCGGAAGUGCAGUUGAUACUGUCAGGCUAGAGUAUGGGAGAGGGAAGUGGAAUUCCUGGUGUAGAGGUGAAAUUCGUAGAUAUCAGGAGGAACACCGGUGGCGAAGGCGACUUCCUGGACCAAUACUGACGCUGAGGUGCGAAGGCGUGGGUAGCAAACAGGAUUAGAUACCCGCGUAGUC